This 263-nucleotide ribosomal RNA is filed under the name uncultured Lactococcus sp. RNAcentral describes it as "partial 16S ribosomal RNA". It matches the Rfam family "Bacterial small subunit ribosomal RNA", at positions 81 to 339 of the family's 1533-position model. The record is from RNAcentral. Lineage: Bacteria; Bacillati; Bacillota; Bacilli; Lactobacillales; Streptococcaceae.
UACCAACUGGAUGAGCAGCGAACGGGUGGGUAACGCGUGGGGAAUCUGCCUUUGAGCGGGGGACAACAUUUGGAAACGAAUGCUAAUACCGCAUAACAAUGAGAAUCGCAUGAUUCUUAUUUGAAAGAAGCAAUUGCUUCACUACUUGAUGAUCCCGCGUUGUAUUAGCUAGUUGGUAGUGUAAAGGACUACCAAGGCGAUGAUACAUAGCCGACCUGAGAGGGUGAUCGGCCACACUGGGACUGAGACACGGCCCAGACUCC